AAAGUUGAAAAGUACUUUGAAGAGAGAGUAAACAGUGCGUGAAACCGAUCAGAGGUAAACGGGUGGAGUUGAACUGCAAGCUCUGAGAAUUCAGCUGGUGAGUGUGGUUCAAGCUUGGUUGUAUCAGUUGGACCUUGGAGUCUGCGUAGCAGCAGGCCUUUGCCUAUGGUGAAGGUGCGCGGUGCACUUAUCAAGUGUUGUGCGCUCCAGGUGUUCAUCGGACUGACUUGCCAGUGCACUUUCUCAGAGUAGUCACCACGACCGGCACCGCUGUCUGGCUGUUAUGGUUAAACCGUUCUUGCAUUGUCCUUGUGGCUUUGCUUGGUCGGGAUGGCAGGUAGAUCGUUGGCAAGCAUUUGUCCUUCGAUUGUAAUCAGCUGACCAUAUCGGUUCUGUGCAGUGUGUCGGAGACGGCGGCUUUUGUGUGUGCGUGCGUGCCUGACUGGCUGGCCUAUCCGGGUUUGGUUGUUAUGUUCCCUGUUUACACAGGGGUGAUAAUGGCUCGGGUUGGUUCGGUUGGUGGUGGCGUGCGUGUCACAAUUCAAGGGCCAAUAGUCUGUGGUGUAGUGGUAGACUAUCCACCUGACCCGUCUUG
Molecule: ribosomal RNA, 595 nt
Filed under: Digenea sp. virgulate xiphidiocercaria 5 DB-2022
Lineage: Eukaryota; Metazoa; Platyhelminthes; Trematoda
Description: partial large subunit ribosomal RNA
Source: RNAcentral